Molecule: ribosomal RNA, 1332 nt
Filed under: uncultured bacterium
Lineage: Bacteria
Description: bacterial SSU rRNA
Rfam family: Bacterial small subunit ribosomal RNA
Source: RNAcentral
GACGAACGCUGGCGGCGCGCCUAACACAUGCAAGUCGAACGAGAGAUGAGGAGCUUGCUCUUCAAAUCGAGUGGCGAACGGGUGAGUAACGCGUGAGGAACCUGCCUCAAAGAGGGGGACAACAGUUGGAAACGACUGCUAAUACCGCAUAAGCCCACGGCUCGGCAUCGAGCAGAGGGAAAAGGAGCAAUCCGCUUUGAGAUGGCCUCGCGUCCGAUUAGCUAGUUGGUGAGGUAACGGCCCACCAAGGCGACGAUCGGUAGCCGGACUGAGAGGUUGAACGGCCACAUUGGGACUGAGACACGGCCCAGACUCCUACGGGAGGCAGCAGUGGGGAAUAUUGCACAAUGGGGGAAACCCUGAUGCAGCGACGCCGCGUGGAGGAAGAAGGUCUUCGGAUUGUAAACUCCUGUUGUUGAGGAAGAUAAUGACGGUACUCAACAAGGAAGUGACGGCUAACUACGUGCCAGCAGCCGCGGUAAAACGUAGGUCACAAGCGUUGUCCGGAAUUACUGGGUGUAAAGGGAGCGCAGGCGGGAGAACAAGUUGGAAGUGAAAUCCAUGGGCUCAACCCAUGAACUGCUUUCAAAACUGUUUUUCUUGAGUAGUGCAGAGGUAGGCGGAAUUCCCGGUGUAGCGGUGGAAUGCGUAGAUAUCGGGAGGAACACCAGUGGCGAAGGCGGCCUACUGGGUACCAACUGACGCUGAGGCUCGAAAGUGUGGGUAGCAAACAGGAUUAGAUACCCUGGUAGUCCACACCGUAAACGAUGAUUACUAGGUGUUGGAGGAUUGACCCCUUCAGUGCCGCAGUUAACACAAUAAGUAAUCCACCUGGGGAGUACGACCGCAAGGUUGAAACUCAAAGGAAUUGACGGGGGCCCGCACAAGCAGUGGAGUAUGUGGUUUAAUUCGACGCAACGCGAAGAACCUUACCAAGUCUUGACAUCCCUUGACGAUGCUGGAAACAGUAUUUCUCUUCGGAGCAAGGAGACAGGUGGUGCAUGGUUGUCGUCAGCUCGUGUCGUGAGAUGUUGGGUUAAGUCCCGCAACGAGCGCAACCCUUAUGGUCAGUUACUACGCAAGAGGACUCUGGCCAGACUGCCGUUGACAAAACGGAGGAAGGUGGGGAUGACGUCAAAUCAUCAUGCCCUUUAUGACUUGGGCUACACACGUACUACAAUGGCGUUAAACAAAGAGAAGCAAGACCGCGAGGUGGAGCAAAACUCAGAAGCAACGUCCCAGUUCGGACUGCAGGCUGCAACUCGCCUGCACGAAGUCGGAAUUGCUAGUAAUCGUGGAUCAGCAUGCCACGGUGAAUACGUUCCCGGGCCU